ACCAAUUUCUUAAGCUCUCCUAUCUGCCAACCCAGAAUUUAAAUUGAUUACAAAUUAACAAGAUUGGACAUUUAUAUAAUUUUCCUCAAAACAGAGCCACUUAUCAUCAAUUUAAGUGUUUCUAAAUCGAAAAGAAAGAAAAGAAACAAUGUCCAUACAGUUUCCUCUAUUGGAACUGAAGUGUCGAUACGAUGUUGAUAGUAGAGAUCUACAUAUUCCACAUCAAGACGUUUUAGGCUAGCCUCACAGCAUGCACGAACAUACUCAGGCUUGCCAUUAAUUGAAGCACCUUUAAAAUCAGAGUUCUUGACAACAAUACCAAAUUUUGUAGCCAACUGGAUCUGGUCUCUAGGAAGUUGUUUUAAUGCCUGCAAGACACGAGUAUCAUAAUAUGUAGUACAUAAAUGAAAAUAAAAUGGGAAGUUAAAAAUUCAAUUUCAUCUGCUUUAAUUGCAUGAUUAUAUAUUUCCAUUCUUUCUGAAAAAGCCUGCCUCUAAUUUACAUAUUUUUGUUUUCAUUGUAUAACAUAAUGAUGAACCUCUGUUCUUUCAGUCCAUGAUUCUUUUUGCUCAUGGCUUACCCCCUUUCAGACCACCAAUUAACCAAUGAUUACAAUUUCUAUUUGAAGAUGGGGCCAAUUCUCCAUUACAGAAGUUUUUGUAACUAAAUCAGCAAAACCUUUUCUUGCCUAAUGAUGAUAGAAACUAGAAAGUCCUCACCCUUGACCUUUUAGAAAUCAAAGCAUGCCAAAGCCAUCCAAAAAAUGCAAUAUGGUUUUGGCAUUAACAAAAUAACAAUUGAAUGCAUCCACAUGAC
RNAcentral lists this unclassified non-coding RNA (816 nucleotides) under Hevea brasiliensis (rubber tree). The record is from RNAcentral. Lineage: Eukaryota; Viridiplantae; Streptophyta; Magnoliopsida; Malpighiales; Euphorbiaceae.